RNAcentral lists this long non-coding RNA (371 nucleotides) under Phoenix dactylifera (date palm). RNAcentral describes it as "long non-coding RNA (PDAC_LNC008150)". The record is from RNAcentral. Lineage: Eukaryota; Viridiplantae; Streptophyta; Magnoliopsida; Arecales; Arecaceae.
GGAUAGGGGCGAUGGGGUUGGGAUGGAAGAGGAGGGAGAACCACACAAGGAGGGUGAGGGAGGAAGAUAAGUUGAAACAAGAUUUGUGGGAUUUUUGGAGAGUUUUAUUUGCGGAUUGACAUGAUUAACCCUGAAAUUAGGGUUUGGUUUAGGACUGCAAGAAACAAAGAGAAAGAUAAGGUGAAAGAAGAUUUUUGAGUUUUUUUUGCAGAGUUUUAUUUGCGGAUUGACAUGAUUAACCCUGAAAUUAGGUUUGGGUUAGGACUGCAAGAAACAAAGUAUCUAAAUCAAGUGGAGGGAUAAAAUAUUGAUUAGUUGCUUGAGAAGUAAAACCACCUAGGACACUUCAUUCCUUAUUUACUUAAGAAAUU